UUUCUCUAGGAGAUAUCAAGGAAAGGAAAUUUGCAUGUGUACAUAUAUACACAAUUUUCCCCUAAAGUAGAAUGGCUGAAUCAUGGUGAAUUGAUAAAUAAGGCACUGAAUUAGAGUGAACAUAAGUAAUGAAACUAUUAUCUCCAACUGAAGAUAAAGGAAGAAAAAAAUCUAUAUUUAACAUCACCUUGAUGGGUGAUGGGCAGAUCAAAUAUAUCUCUGUGUCUAUAACUAAAAAGCUCUGAGCUAAGGCUCAGUAAUAGCCAAUCCAGUUCUCAUAAAGAGAUCAGAAAAAUCAGGGCUAGAGAGAUGCCAAAUGGUUAAGAAUAAGUACUGUCCUUACAGAGGACCCAGAUUCAGUGCCGAGAACCCAUAUAAUACAGCUCACAGCUACCUGGAACUGCACCUCCUAUGGACCUGACCACUACUGCAGCCUCUAUGGGCAUCUGCACUCAUGUCCCUUACACAUAGACAUACGCAUGUACACAUAACAAAGAAAAUCCUAAAGUCCAGAUCAGAGAUGUAAUUAAGCAACUGGCCAGUGCCAGUCACUUAAGAGCCUUUGAACUCAUGUGGACCUGUGUAUUCUCUGGGGGUCUACAUUGUGGGGAAGCUCUUAGUGAGGCUCCCAAGAACACCAUGUUGCUGAUUCUUUGGUAUGAGGAGAUCACUGGAGGCAGGGUCUACAUGCUCCUUGCCUUUGCAUUCUGAACACUCAGUGUUGAGCCUGGCACAUUGCAGAUGUAAUAAAUGUUGUUCUGAAUUGACUUACACCCACCAACCCGUUUAUUAAAAACAGAAAAUAAAAGGAAAAAAACCAAGCUGUGUGAUUUCCUCUAGACACAGUUAUAAUUUACUAUCUAGGACAAGGCUCACCAAUCAAACAUUUAUCUCAAGUCCUUGAGAGGAUAAUUUACCUUCAACAAUUAUUAUUAAUACCUUUUACCAACAUGGGACUACAGAAAAAUUGAACUGAUGAAAAGUGUCUAUCUUUUUUCAUCCAGAAAUAAUUACACCUUUCAAAAAACUAUAUUUUGGGGUUUACCAGAUGAUGGUGUUUUUCAGAUCUCAGGUUGCAAAAGCUGAAUCCUUUUAUCAAUAAUGUUCAAGAUAGAGACACGUCCAAGGUUACUGAAACAGGGCUAUAAAUCACCUCCUGGGUGAGAUGUCUCACAAGAUUAAAAAGAACCAUCAUGUUACCUGCAGAUGGAAUGCCCCACCUCACACAUGUCUGUAUAUUUAAAAUGGCACCCCAAAAAAGCCACACCACAGAAAUGCAGUGCAUGUAUUAGUGAAGAAGUCAAAAAGCAUUUAGGUAAUUUAGGAAUAAAAUGAGUGCUAAUCAUUAUUUUAAAGUUAUGUUUUGUAGAAUUUACUCAUUAUCUCCAUUUGCC
RNAcentral lists this long non-coding RNA (1394 nucleotides) under Mus musculus (house mouse). RNAcentral's name for it is "long non-coding RNA chr14:117733479-117734873". Lineage: Eukaryota; Metazoa; Chordata; Mammalia; Rodentia; Muridae. The record is from RNAcentral.